GAGGAUUUGAUCCUGGUCCAGGAUGAACGCUGGCGGCGUGGAUAAGGCAUGCAAGUCGAGCGGACCUUACUUUGAUCUUGGUUUGAAGCACCGAGAGUAGCAAUACAAUUUGUGCGGAUGGCCGAGGGAUUUGUUUGGUUAGCGGCGAACGAGUUAGUAACACCUUGGUUACGUACCCUGAAGUCGGGUAUAGCCCACCGAAAGGUGGGGUAAUCCCCGAUGGUCUCGCAAGAGUAAACCCGCAAGGGGCUUCAGGAUCGACCUAGGUCCGAUCAGCUAGUUGGUAGGGUAACGGCCUACCAAGGCUAUGACCGGUAGGGGAGGUGAGAGCCUGACCCCCAACGACGAGACUGAGACACGGCUCGUACUCCUACGGGAGGCAGCAGUCGAGAAUAUUCGACAAUGGGCGAAAGCCUGAUCGAGCGACGCCGCGUGCAGGAAGAAGGCCUUCGGGUUGUAAACUGCGGUAGCAGGGGAGGAACUUCGGUGACUGUACCCUGCGGAAAGAGGUUGGUAACUACGUGCCAGCACCCGCGGUAAUACGUAGACCUCAAGCGUUAUCCGGAUUUAUUGGGCGUAAAGCGCGUGUAGGGGGCCCGGCGCGUCUUCCGUUAAAGCCCACCGCCCAACGGUGGAAGUGCGGAGGAUACGGCCGGACUAGAGGAAGUUAGAGGUGCAUGGAACGCACGGUGUAGGGGUGAAAUCCGUUGAUAUCGUGCGGAACACCAAAGGCGAAGGCAGUGCACUGGGACUCUCCUGACCCUGAGACGCGAAAGCGUGGGGAGCAAAAAGGAUUAGAUACCCUUGUAGUCCACGCCCUAAACGAUGCCUGCUUGCUGUUUCGAGUAUCGACCCUCGGGGUGGCGUAGCUAACGCGUUAAGCAGGCCGCCUGGGAAGUACGGCCGCAAGGCUAAAACUCAAAGGAAUAGACGGGGACUCGCACAAGCGGUGGAGCAUGAGGUUUAAUUCGACACCAAGCGAGGAACCUUACCAGGGUUUGAAAUUCUCGCGGAAAGCCGCCGGAAACGGUGGCCCUCUCUCAAGGACCGCGAGGACAGGUGCUGCAUGGUUGUCGUCAGUUCGUGCCGUGAGGCGUUCCCUUAAUUGGGGUAACGAACGCAACCCCUAUCCGGUGUUAUCUGUGUCACCGGAAACUGCCCCCGCUAAAGGGUAGAAUCCAGUAUCUAGAAACUAGAAUUUUGAUCCGUGCCGUUCACUGGAUUGUAAAUUCCGGAUUCUAGUUUCUUGGAUUGUACUUUUCAGCGGGGGAGGAAGGAGGGGAUGACGUCAAAUCCGCAUGGCCCUUUGAUACCCUGGGCUACACUCAUGCUACAAUGGCCGAGACAAUGGGUUGCCAAGCCGUAAGGCGGAGCUAAUCCCAUCAAACUCGGUCCCAGUUCGGAUUGGGGGCUGCAACUCGUCCCCAUGAAGUUGGAAUCGCUAGUAAUCGCGUAUCAGCCACGACGCGGUGAAUACGUUCUCGAGUCCUGUACUCACUGCCCGUCAAGCCAAGGGAGCCGGGAAGAGGUGAAGAUCGCUUCGGCGGUUCAGCCUUAGCUCGGUAACAUGGGCUAAGUCGUAACAAGGCACGCGUAGCGGAAGCUGUGCGUGGAUCA
This 1617-nucleotide ribosomal RNA is filed under the name Parcubacteria group bacterium GW2011_GWA1_59_11. RNAcentral's name for it is "bacterial SSU rRNA". It matches the Rfam family "Bacterial small subunit ribosomal RNA". The record is from RNAcentral.